AGUAUGUGGUUUAAUUCGAUGCAACGCGAAGAACCUUACCUGGUCUUGACAUCCCGGAGACCCUUAGGAAACUAGGGGGUGCUUCCAUCUGGAAGAAUCUGGAGACAGGUGCUGCAUGGCUGUCGUCAGCUCGUGUCGUGAGAUGUUGGGUUAAGCCCCGCAACGAGCGCAACCCUUGCCUUUAGUUGCCAGCAGUUCGGCUGGGCACUCUAAAGGGACUGCCGGUGUUAAACCGGAGGAAGGUGGGGAUGACGUCAAGUCCUCAUGGCCUUUAUGACCAGGGCUACACACGUACUACAAUGGCCGAUACAAAGGGCAGCGACACUGCGAGGUGAAGCCAAUCCCGUAAAAUCGGUCUCAGUCCGGAUUGGAGUCUGCAACUCGACUCCAUGAAGUUGGAAUCGCUAGUAAUCGUGGAUCAGCAUGCCACGGUGAAUACGUUCCCGGGCCUU
Molecule: ribosomal RNA, 452 nt
Filed under: uncultured Desulfobulbus sp.
Lineage: Bacteria; Pseudomonadati; Thermodesulfobacteriota; Desulfobulbia; Desulfobulbales; Desulfobulbaceae
Description: bacterial SSU rRNA
Rfam family: Bacterial small subunit ribosomal RNA
Source: RNAcentral